This 280-nucleotide ribosomal RNA is filed under the name uncultured Glomus. RNAcentral's name for it is "partial 18S ribosomal RNA". It matches the Rfam family "Eukaryotic small subunit ribosomal RNA", at positions 548 to 833 of the family's 1831-position model. The record is from RNAcentral. Lineage: Eukaryota; Fungi; Glomeromycota; Glomeromycetes; Glomerales; Glomeraceae.
UUGGAGGGCAAGUCUGGUGCCAGCAGCCGCGGUAAUUCCAGCUCCAAUAACGUAUAUUAAAGUUGUUGCAGUUAAAAAGCUCGUAGUUGAAUUUCGGGGUUAGUAGGUUGGUCAUGCCUCUGGUAUGUACUGGUCUCACUGAUUCCUCCUUCCUUAUGAACCGUAAUGCCAUUAAUUUGGUGUUGCGGGGAAUUUGGACUGUUACUUUGAAAAAAUUAGAGUGUUUAAAGCAAGCUAACGCUUGAAUACAUUAGCAUGGAAUAAUGAAAUAGGACGUUCG